UUGAAGAGUUUGAUCAUGGCUCAGAUUGAACGCUGGCGGCAGGCCUAACACAUGCAAGUCGAGCGGUAGCACAGAGAGCUUGCUCUCGGGUGACGAGCGGCGGACGGGUGAGUAAUGUCUGGGAAACUGCCUGAUGGAGGGGGAUAACUACUGGAAACGGUAGCUAAUACCGCAUAACGUCGCAAGACCAAAGUGGGGGACCUUCGGGCCUCAUGCCAUCAGAUGUGCCCAGAUGGGAUUAGCUAGUAGGUGGGGUAACGGCUCACCUAGGCGACGAUCCCUAGCUGGUCUGAGAGGAUGACCAGCCACACUGGAACUGAGACACGGUCCAGACUCCUACGGGAGGCAGCAGUGGGGAAUAUUGCACAAUGGGCGCAAGCCUGAUGCAGCCAUGCCGCGUGUGUGAAGAAGGCCUUCGGGUUGUAAAGCACUUUCAGCGGGGAGGAAGGCGUUAAGGUUAAUAACCUUGGCGAUUGACGUUACCCGCAGAAGAAGCACCGGCUAACUCCGUGCCAGCAGCCGCGGUAAUACGGAGGGUGCAAGCGUUAAUCGGAAUUACUGGGCGUAAAGCGCACGCAGGCGGUCUGUCAAGUCGGAUGUGAAAUCCCCGGGCUCAACCUGGGAACUGCAUUCGAAACUGGCAGGCUAGAGUCUUGUAGAGGGGGGGUAGAAUUCCAGGUGUAGCGGUGAAAUGCGUAGAGAUCUGGAGGAAUACCGGUGGCGAAGGCGGCCCCCUGGACAAAGACUGACGCUCAGGUGCGAAAGCGUGGGGAGCAAACAGGAUUAGAUACCCUGGUAGUCCACGCCGUAAACGAUGUCGAUUUGGAGGUUGUGCCCUUGAGGCGUGGCUUCCGGAGCUAACGCGUUAAAUCGACCGCCUGGGGAGUACGGCCGCAAGGUUAAAACUCAAAUGAAUUGACGGGGGCCCGCACAAGCGGUGGAGCAUGUGGUUUAAUUCGAUGCAACGCGAAGAACCUUACCUGGUCUUGACAUCCACAGAACUUUCCAGAGAUGGAUUGGUGCCUUCGGGAACUGUGAGACAGGUGCUGCAUGGCUGUCGUCAGCUCGUGUUGUGAAAUGUUGGGUUAAGUCCCGCAACGAGCGCAACCCUUAUCCUUUGUUGCCAGCGGUUCGGCCGGGAACUCAAAGGAGACUGCCAGUGAUAAACUGGAGGAAGGUGGGGAUGACGUCAAGUCAUCAUGGCCCUUACGACCAGGGCUACACACGUGCUACAAUGGCAUAUACAAAGAGAAGCGACCUCGCGAGAGCAAGCGGACCUCAUAAAGUAUGUCGUAGUCCGGAUUGGAGUCUGCAACUCGACUCCAUGAAGUCGGAAUCGCUAGUAAUCGUAGAUCAGAAUGCUACGGUGAAUACGUUCCCGGGCCUUGUACACACCGCCCGUCACACCAUGGGAGUGGGUUGCAAAAGAAGUAGGUAGCUUAACCUUCGGGAGGGCGCUUACCACUUUGUGAUUCAUGACUGGGGUGAAGUCGUAACAAGGUAACCGUAGGGGAACCUGCGGUUGGAUCACCUCCUU
This 1537-nucleotide ribosomal RNA is filed under the name Klebsiella pneumoniae. Its description in RNAcentral is "bacterial SSU rRNA". It matches the Rfam family "Bacterial small subunit ribosomal RNA". The record is from RNAcentral. Lineage: Bacteria; Pseudomonadati; Pseudomonadota; Gammaproteobacteria; Enterobacterales; Enterobacteriaceae.